This 1762-nucleotide long non-coding RNA is filed under the name Equus caballus (horse). RNAcentral describes it as "lncRNA (ENSECAG00000046859.1)". Lineage: Eukaryota; Metazoa; Chordata; Mammalia; Perissodactyla; Equidae. The record is from RNAcentral.
GCCCAUCCCUGUUUCCUUUUUAUUACCCAUCGUUUCUAAGGUAUUAGCAAAACUCCUGUCUGAAUGGCUCAAUUAGUUCUUUGGAUAGAUAAGUAGACUUGGGGCCUCUGUGCUGCCCUACAAGACCCUUCCCCAAACCCAGGGCACGUCCCAGCAGGGUUAUUGCAGGGUCAGCCCCAUUGUCCUCUGUCCAUGUGUCUGUUACACCCCACGAACUGGUUCUGCAUUCCAGCUAGCACCACCUCCCUUCCCUAUCCAGUAUGACCAGGGCUGAGUGCAACCAGCCUCCGGCCACGGGGUAGCAUUGCCUUUCCUGGCCCUAGAGCUAGUGACAUGGCUGCUGGGCCCAUAAGGAAUCUUAAUUAAAGGCAAUAGAGCAAAGGAGAGUAUGGCCCAACCUAGUUUCUGAUAGGCUCUCCUUGGUCUUAUGAGUGGAAAUGGAAGAUAUCCUGAUCCUAGAUAUCUUCCCCUGUGCCUGUGAGCUUGACCACACUAUGGACGACACUGGCAGGAGUGGGAAGUUAAUGUCAUGCCCAUGAUAUGAGGUCAAUCUUUCAACAGCAUUCAACCAGGACUCACAACACCUGGCUGUAAAGGGGCCACUAGAGUGGCAGUAGGCAAAUCAGAGUCCUAGACGUAAAAACUAAACAGGAUCCUAGUGGUCUGCUGUGGAAGCAGCUCUGCCUGCUGGGGUUCCUCAGCUCUGUUUGUGUAGUGACCCUCCAGCCAGCGUCCCUCAGCCAGGACUUUAUCUGCCUCUUCUGGUUGUAAAAAGAAUUGCCAGGGCCUCUUGGAGUCAAUAAGAAUGGUCAGAAGGACUUCCUGCAGAUCCUGUGAUGCAGAUGGUUAUUGUUCAGUGCUGGGCCUGUGCUAGGUACUCAAUAUGCAAUUGCCAGGAAGACAUGCAGUCUGUCCUCAAAAAGCUCACAGCAGAGUGAAGAAGCUUGGUUUUCCAGAUCAAUGGAUGGUGAGUUGCAGAGAAUCUUCAAGAACUCUACCAUCUUUUGACAUGUCAGGGAUCUAAAUGAAAAAUGAAAAAUAUGGAAAUGGGUCUUUUGAAAGCACCUUCUUGAGCAACUGCUCAGGUUCAAGAUAGGUGAGCUCAAGAUAAGGUUUUACUAUAGAUGAUGUAACUGCUCUAACUACAACCACGGAAAAAGCAAGGUUGGAAGUCUUCCUGAGGCCACUCCAAGUUCUUCCAGUGAAGGUCACCAUUGCGGAUCCUCUUCUUUAAGGAGAACAAAGGUGUUCUGAGGUAGUGGAUUCCCAAGCAUGAGGCUGCUUCAGGAAUCCCAAGCUCAUAGUUCUAUGUCUGGGUUCAUUCAUCACUGUGGAUGCAAGCUACUACUUCUCACAACCUAGAAUUUACUAUUGAAGCUGAGUUUAACCACGGUAUCACUGAUGAUGGAGACCACUGGGGAUCAGCUACUUGGAACUGAGGAAGGAGUGGUACCCAGAAUUCAUAAAAGCCCCUGACGAUAUAUAGCAGGAGUAAAGGAAUUCCACUGCCUACGCAAAACGCUGUGCCUUUACAUGCUGAUUACAAGCCUCUGUGAUAAUUUUUUUCUUAAAAUAAACCAAGUCUCAGAAUGGUGUCAUCCCCAGUUCUUGUGUUUAUUCAUUUAUACACACAUUCAUUCAAAAAAUAUUUAGGUACUUACUGUGUGACAGGCACUAUUCUAAGUGAUGGAACACAGCAAUGCAUAAGUCAUUCAAGGUUACUGCUCUCCAGUGGAGGAGACAGAAAAUAAACCCAGAAAAA